RNAcentral lists this ribosomal RNA (891 nucleotides) under Serratia marcescens. RNAcentral's name for it is "bacterial SSU rRNA". It matches the Rfam family "Bacterial small subunit ribosomal RNA", at positions 534 to 1473 of the family's 1533-position model. Lineage: Bacteria; Pseudomonadati; Pseudomonadota; Gammaproteobacteria; Enterobacterales; Yersiniaceae. The record is from RNAcentral.
UCCAGCCUUAAUCGGAUUCUGGCCUUGAAAGCAUCGAGCGUGUAAGUCAGUUGAAUUCCCUGCUCAACUGGACUUGCAAUCGAAACUGGCCAGCUAGGUUCUGUAGAGGGCGGUAGGAUCAGUGUAGCGUGAAUUGCGUAGAGAUCGAGGACUCCGUGCGAAGCGUCCCCUGACGAAGACUGACGCUCAGGUGCGAAAUGCGUGGGAGCAAACAGAUAGAUACCUGGUAGUCACGCUGUAAACGAUGUCGAUUGAAGGUGUGCUCUGAGGCGUGGCUUCCGGAGCUACGCGUUAAAUCGACCGCCUGGGGAGUACGGCCGCAAGGUUAAAACUCAAAUGAAUUGACGGGGGCCCGCACAAGCGGUGGAGCAUGUGGUUUAAUUCGAUGCAACGCGAAGACCCUUACCUACUCUUGACAUCCAGAGAACUUAGCAGAGAUGCUUUUGCGGCUUCGGGAACUCUGAGACAGUUACCUCUGUUCGUCAGCUCUGUCUUGUUUUUUUGGUUUUUUUUUGCAUGUAUCGUCGCGACUACCCCUUUUCACCCUCUGCAGUGCGGGAGGCCGGACAGGUCCCCCUCAUUAUACUGGGAAGGGUGGGAUGACGUCAAGUCAUCAUGGCCCUGUAUGGUCUCGAUAGCUCCCCCUCCUAAGGCGUACAAGAGAAGCGACCUCGCGAGAGCAAGCGGACCUCAUAAAGUACGUCGUAGUCCGGAUUGGAGUCUGCAACUCGACUCCAUGAAGUCGGAAUCGCUAGUAAUCGUAGAUCAGAAUGCUACGGUGAAUACGUUCCCGGGCCUUGUACACACCGCCCGUCACACCAUGGGAGUGGGUGCAAAAGAAGUAGGUAGCUAACCUCGGAGGCGCUAUACUACUGCAGUUAGCCGCCCACG